CCUACGGGGGGCAGCAGUGAGGAAUAUUGGUCAAUGGGCGGAAGCCUGAACCAGCCAAGUAGCGUGCGGGAUGAAGGCCCUACGGGUCGUAAACCGCUUUUGCACGGGGAUAACACCCUCCACUUGUGGAGGUCUGCAGGUACCGUGCGAAUAAGGGCCGGCUAAUUCCGUGCCAGCAGCCGCGGUAAUACGGAAGGCCCGAGCGUUAUCCGGAUUCAUUGGGCUUAAAGGGAGCGUAGGGGGGCGUUCAAGUCAGCUGUAAAAGCGCGCGGCUCAACCGAGCCCCGAAGUUGAAACUGGAAGUCUUGAGUACACAAGAGGUAGGCGGAAUUCGUGGUGUAGCGGUGAAAUGCAUAGAUAUCACGAGGAACACCGAUUGCGAAGGCAGCCUGCCGGGGUGCGACUGACGCUGAGGCUCGAAGGUGCGGGUAUCAAACAGGAUUAGAUACCCGAGUAGUC
Molecule: ribosomal RNA, 459 nt
Filed under: uncultured bacterium
Lineage: Bacteria
Description: partial 16S ribosomal RNA
Rfam family: Bacterial small subunit ribosomal RNA
Source: RNAcentral